CCUAUGGGAGGCAGCAGUGGGGAAUAUUGCACAAUGGGGGAAACCCUGAUGCAGCAACGCCGCGUGGGUGAAGGAGCGUUUCGGCGCGUAAAGCCCUGUCAGCGGGGAAGAAGAAAGACGGUACCCGACCAAGAAGCCCCGGCUAACUACGUGCCAGCAGCCGCGGUAAUACGUAGGGGGCGAGCGUUAUCCGGAUUUACUGGGUGUAAAGGGAGCGUAGACGGCAGCACAAGUCUGGAGUGAAAUCCCGGGGCUUAACCCCGGAACUGCUUUGGAAACUGUGCGGCUGGAGUGCAGGAGGGGUA
RNAcentral lists this ribosomal RNA (305 nucleotides) under uncultured bacterium. RNAcentral's name for it is "bacterial SSU rRNA". It matches the Rfam family "Bacterial small subunit ribosomal RNA", at positions 338 to 659 of the family's 1533-position model. The record is from RNAcentral.